AAGUGGUGGUGCUGUGCUCGCUUUAAACUGUUGAAAUUAUUUUACAAUCGAAAAGCUCUUCCAAAAUCACCCAAGGAAACGAAUUUGCAGAUCCUGAAUGAAAUGUGCCUGCUCUCGUAAUUGAUACCAGAUCACCCGAACCCCUACAAAUUGUAAUGGGAAUCAAGAUGGAAUUUCUGCCCCAUAUCGUGCCACAAAUCAAUCAACGAGCAACAGGGGAACUGCAGAGAGAACGAAUCGAGUGCCUGUGAUGUUCACUAGAUUUCUGAAACCAUUGAAAGGUCAGAGCGCGGCACGGGCCAUUUAUUCAAACGGCAUGUAAUAGCAUCUUCUGCCUCUGGUCCUCCAACGGGAAGUUAACCAGACGGGCCAAACUGGUUUCAGAAACAACAGUUGACCCGACAAGAAUUCAGCUUAUUCCACCAAUACACAUCUGUUUAGUCAUGUAGGUUUGACAGUUGCUAUAUCUGAAAUCUUGCAAAUACACAAAAUCGUAUUUU
This is a long non-coding RNA of Anoplophora glabripennis (Asian longhorned beetle), 500 nucleotides long. RefSeq lists it as uncharacterized. NCBI's taxonomy places the organism in Eukaryota, Metazoa, Arthropoda, Insecta, Coleoptera, Cerambycidae. The transcript is spliced from 2 exons. The record is from RefSeq and is a predicted model, not a curated record.